GCUUCUCUGAUGUUAGCGGCGGACGGGUGAGUAACACGUGGAUAACCUACCUAUAAGACUGGGAUAACUUCGGGAAACCGGAGCUAAUACCGGAUAAUAUUUUGAACCGCAUGGUUCAAAAGUGAAAGACGGUCUUGCUGUCACUUAUAGAUGGAUCCGCGCUGCAUUAGCUAGUUGGUAAGGUAACGGCUUACCAAGGCAACGAUGCAUAGCCGACCUGAGAGGGUGAUCGGCCAUACUGGAACUGAGACACGGUCCAGACUCCUACGGGAGGCAGCAGUAGGGAAUCUUCCGCAAUGGGCGAAAGCCUGACGGAGCAACGCCGCGUGAGUGAUGAAGGUCUUCGGAUCGUAAAACUCUGUUAUUAGGGAAGAACAUAUGUGUAAGUAACUGUGCACAUCUUGACGGUACCUAAUCAGAAAGCCACGGCUAACUACGUGCCAGCAGCCGCGGUAAUACGUAGGUGGCAAGCGUUAUCCGGAAUUAUUGGGCGUAAAGCGCGCGUAGGCGGUUUUUUAAGUCUGAUGUGAAAGCCCACGGCUCAACCGUGGAGGGUCAUUGGAAACUGGAAAACUUGAGUGCAGAAGAGGAAAGUGGAAUUCCAUGUGUAGCGGUGAAAUGCGCAGAGAUAUGGAGGAACACCAGUGGCGAAGGCGACUUUCUGGUCUGUAACUGACGCUGAUGUGCGAAAGCGUGGGGAUCAAACAGGAUUAGAUACCCUGGUAGUCCACGCCGUAAACGAUGAGUGCUAAGUGUUAGGGGGUUUCCGCCCCUUAGUGC
This 780-nucleotide ribosomal RNA is filed under the name uncultured bacterium. Its description in RNAcentral is "bacterial SSU rRNA". It matches the Rfam family "Bacterial small subunit ribosomal RNA", at positions 79 to 846 of the family's 1533-position model. The record is from RNAcentral.